RNAcentral lists this transfer RNA (23 nucleotides) under Scincella lateralis (ground skink). Its description in RNAcentral is "partial tRNA-Thr". The record is from RNAcentral. Lineage: Eukaryota; Metazoa; Chordata; Lepidosauria; Squamata; Scincidae.
UAAAUAAAUAGCCUUAGUAGCUU